AACGGCCGUACCAUGCUGAAUAUACCGGUUCUCGUUAGAUCACCGAAGUCAAGCAGCAUUGGGCGCGGUCAGUACUUGGGAGGGUGACCACCUGGGAACACUGCGUGCCGUU
Molecule: ribosomal RNA, 112 nt
Filed under: Caerostris darwini
Lineage: Eukaryota; Metazoa; Arthropoda; Arachnida; Araneae; Araneidae
Source: RNAcentral